RNAcentral lists this long non-coding RNA (330 nucleotides) under Mytilus galloprovincialis (Mediterranean mussel). The record is from RNAcentral. Lineage: Eukaryota; Metazoa; Mollusca; Bivalvia; Mytilida; Mytilidae.
CACGUUAUGAAGUAGUAUAUAUCGUUUAACGUUGUUGUUUACGAAACUCCAGAAGAUUCGACUAUUUAUAGAUAAAAGUUACCUGUGUACCAAUAUCAUGAAUAUGCAUGAUUAAUGAUCAGGCAAAAUCUAAUUGCUAAAAUAGAGAGGACAAAUCCGAUACUCUACGGGAUUGAAGGACAUUUACUGGGUUUGGAUUGUCCUAACCAAUCAAUAAACUUUGAUUAUUCACGUCUCGUAAUUUCUUCCAAUCAGGUAGCAAGAAAAAUUCACGCACUGACUGUCCAUCGUUCAAUUCUUAAUCUCGACUCCUAGGAGCCGAGAAUAAAG